RNA transcript from Cydia amplana, 3162 nucleotides. It is a transcript of the gene named transmembrane protein 245, with no coding region annotated. The transcript is spliced from 14 exons. The record is from RefSeq and is a predicted model, not a curated record. NCBI's taxonomy places the organism in Eukaryota, Metazoa, Arthropoda, Insecta, Lepidoptera, Tortricidae.
AACUCACCUGACAUUGACAGCUUAAAACGUCAAUCAUAAAAUGAAUAUUUUUCUACCUUGAAGAAUAUCUCAAAUAACUAUGAUCUCACUCUUUUAUCUGGUGUUAAUUUAAGUUUAGAAAGUGUAUUAGUAUAUCAAAAUGCAACAAUCCCCGUUUGAGAAUAUUUUUAACAUAAUUGGCGGAUUGUCCGAAGGAAAUGAGAAGCCCAUGAAACAUGGGUUCUAUAACGCAUUUGCCCUGUUCAUUCUAACUAUAUGCUGUGCUGCAGUUUAUGUGCUGUUUCUUAUACUAGAACCCUUCUUCAAACCUUUGUUUUGGGCCCUUUUAGUGGGUUCGUUGCUUCACCCAUUCAAAUAUAAAUUGUCUAAGAAGCUGAAGUCAUGGUUUGAAGAUUUAGAGAAAUGUAACAAAUCUGUGAUAUUUGGAUUAAUGUGCUUACCUGUAAAUGUUGUUAAUGUUGCUUCGGACACGGUGGGACAUCAGUUCAUAGAACAUUACAAGACUGUGAUUGGAUUACUGUCUGCAAUAUUUGUUUUACCGUGGCUGUACAAUGCCAUUCCCCGAAGUUUGGUCUGCAUAUUCUGGCAGUUGAGCAGCUUCAUUGGCUUCUCAACUACAAAGCUCAUUGGCUUUUGCAGCUCAUACAUUACUCUGACCAUAGCUCUGGCUUAUUUAAUAAGCAUAUGCACAUUAUGGAGGCCAGAGCGAUCUGGCAUGUUUAAAGCUUCAUCGCAAUUCCUCUGGCUCGUUAUAACGAGUUUCCUGGCCAGUCUGACUGGGUCACUGCAAGUCUAUACAUUUGUAAUGCUGCAAGGGCUAUGUGUAGCUGGAUUUGCGCUUGAAGUGAUUGAUGUACAUAAGGAGUUAUUAGCGAGAGAUCCUGAGACAUCAGCUAUAGUCGCAAUCCAAAAAGUUCUUACCAACGAACAUUGCAAAGAUGCAAUAAAGCAAGAUGAAAAGCCGGAACAGAGCGCUAGUGAACAGGAAUCCACGCCCGAGAAAGAAUCCCCCUCUCCCGUCACCCCUGAUGCCGCUAUGAAAAGGGGAAGCUGGGCAGAAACCGAUCAAAUACACAGCUCGCCUCGCCACGCCAAAAUGCUGUACAAAACUCGAACAUUAUCCGCCUUACCACUAUCAAAUACGAAAACGAAGUCCGCCUUCGAAAAUCGACUCAUCGCCUCCUUCAAACAAAGAUCGAUGGACGAAAACUACAUGAAAAACAACUUCAACAGUGAUGACGAAACCGCCUUAUAUUUUAAACUACUUUUCUUUGGAUGCCUAUGCAUGCUCGUGUGGAAACAUAUUUGGCUGCUGCCAGUAAUGCUGUUUUUCUUAGCAAUCCAUGUGUUGAAGAGAGUGUUGGACUUCUUUGGAGUUUGGCUGUUCUGUGAGAAUCACUACAAUAAUUUCAAGGGCAAAGUCAAAAAUUGGUGGUCUGACAGACAAUCUGCGGCGGUACCAGCGCACAUUCGUGGAAUCCGCAAAAUCCUCUCUAGUUUAAAUAAAAGCAUAAGAGACGUGGCCUACGGCUCUGUGGAUACUGUAUCUACUUGUAUCGUGAUCACGGGUCUUAUUACAUUUCUUAUCGUCGCUACUAUAUUCAUUUGUAUACAGAUAUACUCAGAGGCAAUAGUGGUGGUCCAACUGAGCGGCAGCCUUCUGAACAGUACGUUCGUACAAAACAGCGAGCUGCACGCUUACCUCCCCGAGGGAUGGGAGGAGAAACUAGAUUCCUUGAUCGACAACGCCUAUACUUAUGGAAAAGAGGGCAUAUCUGCUGGUGUAAAGAACAUACUCAAAGAAGGCGACCCUGAGAAGAUAGCCCGUGUAGAGGAGCAAAUUCUGCAAGUAUGGGACCGUGUGUACCAAAGCUGGGUGUCGGGGCAGUUCGCGCCGCAGAUCGGGCCCACGGUCGACGGCAACGCUGUCCAGGACUCGUGGGACAGCUUCGUUCACGACAUCUCUAACACCCCUGGCGUGUUCGACUACUCCGGCAUCGUAGCCUGGGUGCAAGCCAACGUGGGCACCCUGAGCGCCAUAGCUACAAGCAUUUGGGCACCGCUGGCCAGCAAUGUAUCCUUGCUGGCCGGGUCGAUCGGCGCAUUCACGUCGCUUCUACUCUCAGGCGGAGGCGCUGUCAUCAACAUGUUCAUUAACUUGGUGGUGUUCUUUACAACGCUUUUCUACUUGCUGGCGUGCAGCAACGCUCUCUACAAGCCGGUCGAGGUCAUCACCCAAGUGCAGCCCAACUUUGGACCGCGACUCGGCAUCGCCCUGUCUGUCGCUAUAAACCAGGUGUUCAGAGCGUCAUUCAAAAUGGCGCUGUUUUACGGGUUAUGGACGUGGCUGGUGCACAAUCUGUUUGGAGCUAAAGUUGUCUACUUACCUUCAGUGUUAGCUGCAGUGUUGGGCGCGGCUCCGUUCCUCGGGCCGUACUUGGCCGGGAUCCCCGCAGCGCUGGACGUGUGGCUGCAAGGCAGGCCUAUGGCCGCGCUGAUGCUGCCUAUCGCUCAAGCUGCGCCCAUCGCCUUCCUUGAUGCUGCCGUCUACGCUGAAAUCAAAGACGGCGGCCACCCAUACGUGACUGGUUUAGCAAUAGCGGGUGGUAUAUUUUACCUCGGGCCCGAGGGCGCGAUCCUCGGGCCCCUACUGCUCUGCUGCCUCAUGGUGGUGCUGAACCUGUCCUCUGCCUUCCUGCGCGACACGCCGUCCGAAGAGCGCGCCGCCCUGCAUUCGCGUGUCAGUGUACCAAAGUGGUUGGCGAGUGAGAAAUUGUCUCAGCUUGUUAUUUCUAUGAUGAUCAAAAAGUUAACCAAGGUAAUUUGUAAAUAGUUAUUCAUUCGACACAUUUCGAAACAUACAAAAGUUCUUCAAAGUCCAUAAUAAUGUUCAAAACAAAAUUUCAUUACCCAUUUUUGUAAAUAACUGUUUUAUUUCUUGUUUAUUGGUGAAUAAUAUUUUUUUGGUAUAUUUAAGUGAUAGGUAAUAAUGCGUGGGUGUUCCUGUUGAUUUAGGUCAUUAUUGGGAUUGUUUUAUAAUUGAGGCUCGGUGCUUUUCUCUGACGGGCAUGCAUGGACAACUAACACUCAGUCAGUCCCCAAAUGAUAAGCAAUUAUUGUCAAUUAAUAAGCCAAGCAAUGUAUGGUAUGAUAAGUAAUAAC